RNAcentral lists this long non-coding RNA (358 nucleotides) under Helianthus annuus (common sunflower). Its description in RNAcentral is "hypothetical non coding rna". Lineage: Eukaryota; Viridiplantae; Streptophyta; Magnoliopsida; Asterales; Asteraceae. The record is from RNAcentral.
AUCUUGCUACCUUUUCAUUCUGGAGGAAACCUGAGCAUUUGGAACUUCCUUGGAGUUCUUUUCAGUGCUAAGGACCAUUUGCGCAUAGUAUGGAUUGAGAGCCCCAGUAGAAGUACUUGUGCUUGCUGAUUAGAAUAUACGACUGAGUAUAAAUUGCAUUGCUAGCUCAGUGACAGGUACUGUACGUAAUUGGCUGGGAGCUCAGGGCGUUAAUAAGGAAUCUUGCCAGUUCUAGAUGCCUAAAGUCUGUUGAACAUUUUUUCUUUUAUUUGAUCCGCCUGUGGAUCUUUUACAUACCGUUUGUAAUACUUUGAUAUUCUCAUUCGGUUGUAAUAUAUUUAUCUUUUGCUUCCGCUGU